AACUCGCCUGCAUGAAGCUGGAAUUGCUAGUAAUCGCGGAUCAGCAAGCCGCGGUGAAUACGUUCCCGGGCCUUGUACACACCGCCCGUCACACCAUGAGAGUCGGGAACACCCGAAGUCCGUAGUCUAACCGCAAGGGGGGCGCGGCCGAAGGUGGGUCCGGUAAUUGGGGUGAAGUCGUAACAAGGUAAC
Molecule: ribosomal RNA, 192 nt
Filed under: uncultured bacterium
Lineage: Bacteria
Description: partial 16S ribosomal RNA
Rfam family: Bacterial small subunit ribosomal RNA
Source: RNAcentral